GUCUACUGCCAUACCACCCUGAACACGAUCAAUCUCGUCUGAUCUUACAAGCUAAGCAGUGUCGGGCCUGGUUAGUACUUGGAUUGGAGACCCCCUGGGAAUUCCGGGUGCUGUAGGUG
This is a ribosomal RNA of Cercocebus atys (sooty mangabey), 119 nucleotides long. The record is from Ensembl. NCBI's taxonomy places the organism in Eukaryota, Metazoa, Chordata, Mammalia, Primates, Cercopithecidae.